This 379-nucleotide ribosomal RNA is filed under the name uncultured bacterium. Its description in RNAcentral is "bacterial SSU rRNA". It matches the Rfam family "Bacterial small subunit ribosomal RNA", at positions 355 to 750 of the family's 1533-position model. The record is from RNAcentral.
UGAGGGAUAUUGGUCAAUGGGCGCAAGCCUGAACCAGCGACGCCGCGUGGGUGAAGAAGGUCUUCGGAUCGUAAAGCCCUUUUCCCACUGAAGAGGAAGGACGGUAGGUGGGGAAGAAGUCUCGGCUAACUACGUGCAAGCAGCCGCGGUAAAACGUAGGAGACAAGCGUUAUCCGGAGUUACUGGGCGAAAAGGGCGUGCAGGUGGCGUCUUAAGUCUGUUGUGAAAGCGCCUGGCUUAACCGGGCGAGGCCAAUGGAGACUGAGAGGCUGGAGGACGGCGGAGGGGUGUGGAAUUCCGGGUGUAGUGUUGAAAUGCGUAGAGAUCCGGAGUAACACCGGAGGCGAAGGCGGCACUCUAAGCCGUACCUGACACUGAG